Molecule: unclassified non-coding RNA, 193 nt
Filed under: Basidiomycota sp.
Lineage: Eukaryota; Fungi; Basidiomycota
Description: partial contains small subunit ribosomal RNA, internal transcribed spacer 1, and 5.8S ribosomal RNA
Rfam family: Eukaryotic small subunit ribosomal RNA (bases 1-47)
Source: RNAcentral
AAAGUCGUAACAAGGUUUCCGUAGGUGAACCUGCGGAAGGAUCAUCAAAUAAUACAUUUGUAUUGUGAUAAAUUGUGGUUAUUAUGAACAUGUUCUAAUUCAUUGGAUUAGAAUCUUUUUAAACUAGAUAAAUUAUAGAAAUGGAAUACGUUAUUAACAGAAAUAACUAUCAACCACGGAUCUCUAGGCUCUU